This 378-nucleotide unclassified non-coding RNA is filed under the name plant metagenome. Its description in RNAcentral is "partial contains 5.8S ribosomal RNA, internal transcribed spacer 2, and large subunit ribosomal RNA". The stretch from base 1 to 105 matches the Rfam family "5.8S ribosomal RNA", at positions 50 to 154 of the family's 154-position model. The record is from RNAcentral.
GAAAUGCGAUAAGUAAUGUGAAUUGCAGAAUUCAGUGAAUCAUCGAAUCUUUGAACGCACCUUGCGCUCCUUGGUAUUCCUUGGAGCAUGCCUGUUUGAGUAUCAUGAAAUCUUCAAAGUAAAUCUUUUGUUAACUCAAUUGGUUUCUACUUUGGUAUUGGAGGUCUUCGCAGCUUCACACCUGCUCCUCUUUGUUCAUUAGCUGGAUCUCAGUGUUAUGCUUGGUUCCACUCAGCGUGAUAAGUUAUCUAUCGCUGAGGACACUGUAAAAGGUGGCCAAGGUAAAUGCAGAUGAACCGCUUCUAAUAGUCCAUUGACUUGGACAAUACUUUUAUGAUCUGAUCUCAAAUCAGGUAGGACUACCCGCUGAACUUAAGC